UGCGAAGCGAAGCAGUGAUGUGAAGCAAAUCGUACCAAAAGCCGGUCCCAGUUCGGAUAAGAGGCUGAAACUCGCCUCUUUGAAGUCGGAAUCGCUAGUAAUCGCAGAUCAGCAUGUUGCGGUGAAUACGUUCCCGGGUCUUGUACACACCGCCCGUCAAACCAUGAGAGUCACCAACACCCGAAGUCCGCUUUGGCGGCCUAAGGUGGGGGAGAUGAUUGGGGUUAAGUCGUAACAAGGUACC
This 244-nucleotide ribosomal RNA is filed under the name uncultured bacterium. RNAcentral's name for it is "partial 16S ribosomal RNA". It matches the Rfam family "Bacterial small subunit ribosomal RNA", at positions 1243 to 1500 of the family's 1533-position model. The record is from RNAcentral.